UCAGAGUGGCAGAGUGGUUAAUGCGCCGGCCUUAGAAACCGGUUAGGGGAAACCCUUUGCAGGUUCGAAUCCUGUCCUCUCCGCUA
This 86-nucleotide transfer RNA is filed under the name Blastocatellia bacterium. RNAcentral's name for it is "tRNA-Leu". The stretch from base 6 to 76 matches the Rfam family "tRNA", at positions 7 to 64 of the family's 71-position model. Rfam says of the family: Transfer RNA (tRNA) molecules are approximately 80 nucleotides in length. Their secondary structure includes four short double-helical elements and three loops (D, anti-codon, and T loops). Further hydrogen bonds mediate the characteristic L-shaped molecular structure. tRNAs have two regions of fundamental functional importance: the anti-codon, which is responsible for specific mRNA codon recognition, and the 3' end, to which the tRNAs corresponding amino acid is attached (by aminoacyl-tRNA synthetases). tRNAs cope with the degeneracy of the genetic code in two manners: having more than one tRNA (with a specific anti-codon) for a particular amino acid; and 'wobble' base-pairing, i.e. permitting non-standard base-pairing at the 3rd anti-codon position. The record is from RNAcentral. Lineage: Bacteria; Pseudomonadati; Acidobacteriota; Blastocatellia.